Molecule: ribosomal RNA, 443 nt
Filed under: uncultured Caldilineaceae bacterium
Lineage: Bacteria; Bacillati; Chloroflexota; Caldilineae; Caldilineales; Caldilineaceae
Description: bacterial SSU rRNA
Rfam family: Bacterial small subunit ribosomal RNA
Source: RNAcentral
UCCUACGGGAGGCUGCAGUGAGGAAUAUUCCACAAUGGACGAAAGUCUGAUGGAGCAACGCCGCGUGGAGGAUGAAGGUCUUUGGAUCGUAAACUCCUUUUCUCAGGGAAGAGAAUGGACGGUACCUGAGGAAUAAGUCACGGCUAACUACGUGCCAGCAGCCGCGGUAAUACGUAGGUGGCGAGCGUUAUCCGGAAUUACUGGGCGUAAAGCGCACGCAGGCGGUCUUUUAAGUUUGACGUGAAAGCUCCCGGCUUAACUGGGAGAGGUCGUUGAAUACUGGGAGACUUGAGGCAAUGAGAGGGAUGCAGAAUUCCUGGUGUAGUGGUGGAAUGCGUAGAUAUCAGGAGGAAUACCAGUGGCGAAAGCGGCAUCCUAGCGUUGGCCUGACGCUCAUGUGCGAAAGCGUGGGGAGCGAACGGGAUUAGAUACCCCGGUAGUCC